Molecule: ribosomal RNA, 702 nt
Filed under: Actinomycetes bacterium
Lineage: Bacteria; Bacillati; Actinomycetota; Actinomycetes
Description: bacterial SSU rRNA
Rfam family: Bacterial small subunit ribosomal RNA
Source: RNAcentral
GAGUGGCGAACGGGUGAGUAACACGUGGGUAAUCUGCCCUGCACUUCGGGAUAAGCCUGGGAAACCGGGUCUAAUACCGGAUAUGAGCUCCUGCCGCAUGGUGGGGGUUGGAAAGUUUUUCGGUGCAGGAUGAGUCCGCGGCCUAUCAGCUUGUUGGUGGGGUAAUGGCCUACCAAGGCGACGACGGGUAGCCGGCCUGAGAGGGUGAUCGGCCACACUGGGACUGAGACACGGCCCAGACUCCUACGGGAGGCAGCAGUGGGGAAUAUUGCACAAUGGGCGGAAGCCUGAUGCAGCGACGCCGCGUGGGGGAUGACGGUCUUCGGAUUGUAAACUCCUUUCAGUAGGGACGAAGCGAGAGUGACGGUACCUGCAGAAGAAGCACCGGCCAACUACGUGCCAGCAGCCGCGGUAAUACGUAGGGUGCAAGCGUUGUCCGGAAUUACUGGGCGUAAAGAGCUCGUAGGCGGUUUGUCGCGUCGUCUGUGAAAUCCUCCAGCUCAACUGGGGGCGUGCAGGCGAUACGGGCAGACUUGAGUACUACAGGGGAGACUGGAAUUCCUGGUGUAGCGGUGAAAUGCGCAGAUAUCAGGAGGAACACCGGUGGCGAAGGCGGGUCUCUGGGUAGUAACUGACGCUGAGGAGCGAAAGCAUGGGGAGCAAACAGGAUUAGAUACCCUGGUAGUCCAUGCCGUAAACGGU